This 350-nucleotide long non-coding RNA is filed under the name Heterocephalus glaber (naked mole-rat). RNAcentral's name for it is "lncRNA (ENSHGLG00000046447.1)". The record is from RNAcentral. Lineage: Eukaryota; Metazoa; Chordata; Mammalia; Rodentia; Bathyergidae.
CUUGGGUUCCAUUCUGAGUCUUCCGCGUACAAGCUAUGGGAACAUGAGUGCGGGUCACCUUCCUGACUUGUUUUCCUCACCCAGGAGCCUGUCGGAGUUGGGUUGGGGUUAUGUGCGAUUUUAUUUGCAUGUUUUGGGAGCGAGACUGCGGAUACCACACUUACUUAAGGUGGCCACACCCAGGGUCCUGGAUUCCUUUGCUCUCAAAGCUGGAGCUGAAUAUUUAUCUGCAGCUGGAAAGAAGUCUGUGCCUGCACAAAAGGUGUGAAUGGAUAAAGAAUCAAUCCUGCAGACAUCCUAAGGUCAAAAAGUGAUGAUGAAGAAGUUCCUCCAGGCUUCCAACGCAGACU